This is a long non-coding RNA of Ficedula albicollis (Collared flycatcher), 2643 nucleotides long. RefSeq lists it as uncharacterized. Lineage: Eukaryota; Metazoa; Chordata; Aves; Passeriformes; Muscicapidae. The transcript has 3 exons. The record is from RefSeq and is a predicted model, not a curated record.
GGGGGGGGGGGGGGGCAGCGGUGGCAGCGCAGAAGGCGGAGGAGUGUGACGAGGGACCUAACACAAUCGUGAUCUGUAUGGUCAUCUUACUGAAUAUUGGUCUGGCCAUCCUAUUUGUACAUUUUUUGACAUGAUGAGCCUCUUGAACAAGGCAUUGCUGCUGGUGGAGACCUCAGACCUUGGCGGGGAUUAAAGUUCAGCCACCUGGAAACACCUAAGAGGAGGACUUGAGAUCCCAAGGUUGCACUGCAAACAUCAACCUUAGAUGAGUGUCUGAAGAUCAGUUUCCUGCUCCCAGGCUGUGGCUGGCCUCUGCAGUCUACCAAGGAAAAGCCAGGGUUUCUGCACCGUGGUCUCCUCUUCUUUGUAUAAAAUAGCAGUUGCCUUAAAUUAUUCUCACCAAAGCCAUCAACUGUCCUGCCAUGCCAGGGAUGAGGGAUUUAUCUGUAGCUGUAGGAAAAGGAGUGAGAAGGUCUCAUGUGUGCACACUGAUGUGUUUUUAUUCCCUUGGUUGACUCGGUGUCAGAAAUUUUCCAAAGAUUGUCAUCCAUGGCACGGACAUGAAGCAAUACAGAACCAGAAUGACUCAUGAAAGCCGCGCCUCGGGGCGGACAACACUGCUCUCCAUGCUUGGAAGUCAUCCAAAGGGAUGAACAAAAAGUCUUUCCCCUGUCACCUGGCAUCAUUUUCCAUGUAUGGAGGACUGAGAGGGGGAGCAAGUUGAAAUUGGGCUUGUUGAAGUGGGACCCGAGUCCUGCCCGUGGCGGCCGAUGUACCACGGAUGGGGCUGCGGGGUGGGAUGUGAGGGACUGGUGGAUCCAAGGCUGUUGGUGAUUGUGGGGGUGCUCUGGGUAGAGAUGGGGCCUCUUUUGGGACCAGGCACCAUCCAAGCCCUCUCCUGCCACCAACAAUGCUCUGCACAGAAGCGUCUUGCAGUGGGUGGCUUCCCGCUGUAAGGGGGAAGGCAGUAGGUGUGCUGAAUUUGUCCCUUUACCUCUUUUUUUCUAUGAAAAUGUUGUGAGUUACAGUGAAAAGGAGGUUCUUGCUGAAAAUGCCUCCAUACACCUGCAGGUUCCUCCCCUUGGUGUGCCAGGCUGCAAGAGGGUUCUGGCUUCUCAUUGCACCCAACAAACUGAUUUUCCAGCCAGAGGAUGCAGGGUGGCAGGGAGAGGUUGCCUUACUCCUGAAAGAAAAAAGGUGCAGAGGUGUGAGUGACUGCAGUGUAUUUGGGUGUUGGGCUCAGAAAUAUGCAGCAGCCAGGCUUUGAGCAGUGGCAGAGUACAGUGGGGCAGUUGUAGCUGUUGCUCGUGUGUGCGAGGCUGAGAGGCCUGAGCGAUUUGCACCCAUUUUUCCAAAGCUGCCACAGGGAGUGACCUUUGGAAGGAGAUUUUUCCACCAUGAUCUGCUCUGAUCCUUCGCAGUGCGAGCUUAGAAAGUCAACACAGAUGAAGUUACAGUUUAGUGUGAGGCUGAGUGCUUGGACAUGUUUCUUCCUUCUUUAAGAGCAAUGUGUAUUUUCUAUCCCUUUUUAAGAUAAUCAGAGAUGUUAUUUAUAGUUGGUUGUGCACCUCUGUGUAUCCUGAAGUCCCACAGCACAGGACUGGGUAGGAAAACCUUGUUGGACUGGAAAGAGUGGGAAAAUGAUAGUUAAGGAAAAAAACAGAUGCCCAGUCUGCUUCAAAGGUCAAUCUGAAAGGAUUUCAGAGACGGAGUGGCAGACACACAGGGAAUUACACUCACGGGAGACACGGGGCAAAACCUGCCUAAUUUAACUACUCUAGUUACGGCAUAAGAGAGUGAGAAUAAUUCAAUACUUUUUUGUGAACCAAGUCUAUUUUUUAGCCUUAUCAGCUCAGGAACAUUGCUACAGUAGCAAAUAUGUGGUAUUAAGUGUGGGGAAGUGAAUGUGAUCCUUUCCUAAAAGCCAUGUGGCUGUACCAGUCCUGAGAAAGCUGUGCAGCAUCAUCUACACUUCCAUAGAGCAUAGUUUAGUAGCAAUUUGCUUAUUUUCUUUUUUUUUUCUUUCCUUAAAUAUAAAUGUAUUGCAAACCCCAGGCUCUGCUGCCUUUGAUGUUUUAUCUUCAUUUGAUGGCAUUCACCUGCCAGCUCUGCAGUUUCAAUAUGCCAACUGCUUUUAUUCACCACUGAGACAAUUUCCAUUGAGAGACCUGAGGGGCUUUUAUUUAUCACUCAGCACAAAAAUUGAUCUUUUUCAACAGUGCUAAGGUAAUUCCUUCCCCACCCCCUAUUUUUUAUGCAUGUGAUAUGCACUCAGUAAUGUGCUUUCCUCCUAGUAAACUUCUGAGAAAAGUAGGUAGAUUUGCUUUUAUGUGACGUAUAACUGUAUCCAUAUUGCACUGAGAUAUGGAUAUAUAUACAUAGAGAGAGCCCCUUCGGGAUUUCAUUUUCUUAGAUGCAAAAUACGAGAUUUACCUCAAAGUGCAUGCUUUCAAAACUGACUAGGAUUUUGUGUUAUACUUUUCAGGUCUUACAAAGAUGCAGAUACUUUUCACUCUUCACACAAAAAUACCUUCAUCACAGAUUUUGCAAGCUGUUUACUACAAUCUGUGUACUACUGUCCAGUUUUCUGUCGGUUGUUCUGCUGGAUUAUGUGCAAUAAUAAACAGUUAUCUGCUCACUCUA